Molecule: non-coding RNA, 199 nt
Organism: Leptonychotes weddellii (Weddell seal)
Lineage: Eukaryota; Metazoa; Chordata; Mammalia; Carnivora; Phocidae
Source: RefSeq, a predicted model, not a curated record
UUUCUUUUUUUUUUUGCUGCAGCCAACUGGGUACAUGGAAAACUCAGUCUCCUACAGCGCUAUUGAGGACGUUCAGCUGCUGUCCUGGGAGAACGCCCCGAAGUACUGUUUACAGCUCACAAUUCCUGGGGGAACGGUCUUACUGCAGGCUGCCAACAGCUACCUUCGAGACCAGUGGUUCCAUUCUCUGCAGUGGAAG